GAUGAACGCUGGCGGCGUGCCUAAUACAUGCCAGUCGAGCGAACGGACGAGAAGCUUGCUUCUCUGAUGUUAGCGGCGGACGGGUGAGUAACACAUGGAUAACCUACCUAUAAGACUGGGAUAACUUCGGGAAACCGUAGCUAAUACCGGAUAAUAUUUUGAACCGCAUGGUUCAAAAGUGAAAGACGGUCUUGCUGUCACUUAUAGAUGGAUCCGCGCUGCAUUAGCUAGUUGGUAAGGUAACGGCUUACCAAGGCAACGAUGCAUAGCCGACCUGAGAGGGUGAUCGGCCACACUGGAACUGAGACACGGUCCAGACUCCUACGGGAGGCAGCAGUAGGGAAUCUUCCGCGAUGGGCGAAAGCCUGACGGAGCAACGCCGCGUGAGUGAUGAAGGUCUUCGGAUCGUAAAACGAUGUUAUUAGGGAAGAACAUAUGUGUAAGUAACUGUGCACAUCUUGACGGUACCUAAUCAGAAAGCCACGGCUAACUACGUG
RNAcentral lists this ribosomal RNA (497 nucleotides) under uncultured bacterium. RNAcentral describes it as "partial 16S ribosomal RNA". It matches the Rfam family "Bacterial small subunit ribosomal RNA", at positions 28 to 507 of the family's 1533-position model. The record is from RNAcentral.